RNAcentral lists this ribosomal RNA (434 nucleotides) under uncultured bacterium. Its description in RNAcentral is "partial 16S ribosomal RNA". It matches the Rfam family "Bacterial small subunit ribosomal RNA", at positions 341 to 792 of the family's 1533-position model. The record is from RNAcentral.
ACGGAAGGCAGCAGUGGGGAAUAUUGCACGAUGGGGGAAACCCUGAUGCAGCGACGCCGCGUGAGCGAAGAAGUAUUUCGGUACGUAAAGCUCUAUCAGCAGGGAAGAAAAUGACGGUACCCGACUAAGAAGCCCCGGCUAACUACGUGCCAGCAGCCGCGGUAAUACGUAGGGGGCAAGCGUUAUCCGGAUUUACUGGGUGUAAAGGGAGCGUAGACGGCAAGGUAAGUCUGAAGUGAAAUGCCGGGGCUCAACCCCGGAACUGCUUUGGAAACUAUCUCGCUCGAGUACCGGAGGGGUAAGCGGAAUUCCUAGUGUAGCGGUGAAAUGCGUAGAUAUUAGGAGGAACACCAGUGGCGAAGACGGCUUACUGGACGGUAACUGACGUUGAGGCUCGAAAGCGUGGGGAGCAAACAGGAUUAGAUACCCUGGUA